This is a long non-coding RNA of Octopus sinensis (East Asian common octopus), 165 nucleotides long. RefSeq lists it as uncharacterized. NCBI's taxonomy places the organism in Eukaryota, Metazoa, Mollusca, Cephalopoda, Octopoda, Octopodidae. The record is from RefSeq and is a predicted model, not a curated record. The transcript is spliced from 3 exons.
CAUACUGUCAUUACAAUUUAACACCUGCCUACAUUGUUGCUGUAUGAACACCACACAACCAACAGAUCAACGGCUGCCUCUACACACCACCAAGCAGUACGUCAACUAUGUCUACAAGAUCAAAAGUCCAGCCUAACCACGAAGCCUCUCACACAUCCUUGUUGU